RNAcentral lists this long non-coding RNA (1302 nucleotides) under Mus musculus (house mouse). RNAcentral describes it as "long non-coding RNA chr19:55554872-55556174". The record is from RNAcentral. Lineage: Eukaryota; Metazoa; Chordata; Mammalia; Rodentia; Muridae.
AGUUGUAAGCCGCCACGCCCGCCUGCCCGGUGUGUCUGGGGCUUUGAUUGGACGCCAGCUCUUACUGGUGCUCACCAAGCCCUGGGACAGCUUCUGCUUCUCUCCCCAGUCUUCUCUGCAUUUAACUUGGCCACCUUAUAUCAGUAAACCCAAUGAGAAAACCAAACAAGCCUAAGUCUCUAAAGACUAGACGGGGUAUUCGAAAAAUGGGACUUUGCAGUGAGGGGUGUUUUACAGUGAAAAUUCUACUGUAAAGAAGAAUCUUUUAAUACCCCCCCUUGGGAUAGAGUGAGUAAUUUAUGCAUAAUGACAAGAAAACACAUGUAAUUACUCUGGGUAAUAUAUGCUUCCUGUUCAGUUGUGUGUUUUAAAGGGAUUAAGACACUUAGUUUUUUCAGUGGUAAAUAUCUGCUUCCUUGUUACCCCGAGGUCUCUGGAAGUUUGUUGUGACUGUGCCUGAGUUGAACUCACGCAGGACACACACAGUACUGAGGAAAGUAACCAGUGUAGAUCUUUGGCCGAGAAUGAUGGGCAGAGGCCUGUGACAGUGGGAAGCCUUGUGCGGCUAGCCCUAGGAGUUGGGGGCUGGAGGACUAAGGGGGCUUCCAGUCCCUCUGGAGCCAUCCUGAAGCUCUGUGUGUCUUUUUGUUGCUGUGUGCAUUUCAAACUGAGCCUCACUAUAUGAUCCAGCCGGGCCUAGAACCUAAUUUGUUUUAGCACAGGCUAGCCUCAAACAUGAGGUCCUUCUGCCUUGGCCUGCCUGUUGCUGAGACUGCAGGUAUACAUUACCCCUGACUGUGUGCCGAUGGGGAAGCUAUGUGGCACAGCAUGGAGCAGAAACACGUAAGGGAAGGUUAUUCAAUUAGCAUAUUGAUAUCACCCAUAUCACAUAGGAUGAAAUGAAUUUCUGACAUUUGUUUUUAAUUAAUAAUUUCCACUUGUUUUUGGCCCAGGACUCCUAUGUGUUUACUGCACAUGGCUUUCCCCACCCCCCAAUUAGAGGGUAGAUUUCACCCUUUAUCUUUGCAGGUAACAGAUCCAAGACAUUUUUAUGUAAAUGGACUAAUUAAUUGGUAGCCUUCAUUUGAAGCUUAAAAUAAAAGUAAUCCUUUUGGAGAGGCAUUAGCUAUUUCUAAAGCCACAAACAAUUCUCCCUUAAGCACCUUGUUACAAUUAGAACUUAAGUUAACAGCAGCAGACAUAAUGGAAGGCGUUACCCCUUACCUAAGAACCUUGUUUUCCCAGAGUGAUUAAAGAAAUCCCUUCACUAAGGGACUGCAGAAACCUCCUCACUCACUUGCU